GGGGAUUUAGCUCAGCGGCAUAAGUGCCUGCCUUUAAAGCAGGCGGUCGUGAGUUCGAUUCCCAGUACCGA
Transfer RNA from Cavia porcellus (domestic guinea pig), 71 nucleotides. It matches the Rfam family "tRNA". From Rfam's summary of the family: Transfer RNA (tRNA) molecules are approximately 80 nucleotides in length. Their secondary structure includes four short double-helical elements and three loops (D, anti-codon, and T loops). Further hydrogen bonds mediate the characteristic L-shaped molecular structure. tRNAs have two regions of fundamental functional importance: the anti-codon, which is responsible for specific mRNA codon recognition, and the 3' end, to which the tRNAs corresponding amino acid is attached (by aminoacyl-tRNA synthetases). tRNAs cope with the degeneracy of the genetic code in two manners: having more than one tRNA (with a specific anti-codon) for a particular amino acid; and 'wobble' base-pairing, i.e. permitting non-standard base-pairing at the 3rd anti-codon position. The record is from Rfam. NCBI's taxonomy places the organism in Eukaryota, Metazoa, Chordata, Mammalia, Rodentia, Caviidae.